CGUGGAGGAUGAAAUCCCUUGGGAUGUAAACUCCUUUCGAUCGGGACGAUUAUGACGGUACCGGAAGAAGAAGCCCCGGCUAACUUCCGUGC
This 92-nucleotide ribosomal RNA is filed under the name uncultured bacterium. RNAcentral describes it as "partial 16S ribosomal RNA". It matches the Rfam family "Bacterial small subunit ribosomal RNA", at positions 400 to 508 of the family's 1533-position model. The record is from RNAcentral.